UGGGGAAUAUUGCACAAUGGGGGAAACCCUGAUGCAGCGACGCCGCGUGAGUGAAGAAGUAUUUCGGUAUGUAAAGCUCUAUCAGCAGGGAAGAAGAUGACGGUACCUGACUAAGAAGCCCCGGCUAACUACGUGCCAGCAGCCGCGGUAAUACGUAGGGGGCAAGCGUUAUCCGGAUUUACUGGGUGUAAAGGGAGCGUAGACGGCAGAGCAAGUCUGAAGUGAAAGCCCGCGGCUCAACUGCGGGACUGCUUUGGAAACUGUUAAGCUAGAGUGCUGGAGAGGUAAGCGGAAUUCCUAGUGUAGCGGUGAAAUGCGUAGAUAUUAGGAAGAACACCAGUGGCGAAGGCGGCUUACUGGACAGUAACUGACGUUGAGGCUCGAAAGCGUGGGGAGCAAACA
RNAcentral lists this ribosomal RNA (402 nucleotides) under uncultured bacterium. RNAcentral's name for it is "bacterial SSU rRNA". It matches the Rfam family "Bacterial small subunit ribosomal RNA", at positions 355 to 774 of the family's 1533-position model. The record is from RNAcentral.